Molecule: small RNA, 659 nt
Filed under: Pongo abelii (Sumatran orangutan)
Lineage: Eukaryota; Metazoa; Chordata; Mammalia; Primates; Hominidae
Description: retained intron
Source: RNAcentral
CAACAGAGCAAACUCCAUCUCAAAACAAAACAAAAAAAACAAAAAUCAAAAAUUAAAAAACAAAAAACUGCUGAUGGGCUGGGUGUGAUGGCUCACUCCUGUAGUCCCAGCACUCUGAGACGAUUCCAUGAGCCCAGGAGUUUGAGGCUGCAGGGAGCUAUGAUGGUGCCACUGCACUCCAGCUUGGGCAUCAGAGUGAGACCUUAUCUCAAAAAUAAAUAAAUAAAGGGAAGGAAAGGAAGAAGAAAAUAAAAACUGCUGGUGGAUGAACAACAGCCUCAUUCAGUUGACUUCUUUUUCCUUCACAAAGACUGACUGGAGCUCUCCCGUGUCAGCUCGUAGCACAGAAGGUGAAGAGCCUGCUGUGGGGCCAGGGCUUCCCAGAUUACGUGGCCCCUUUUGGAAAUUCCCAGGCCCAGGACAUGCUGGACUGGGUGCCCAUCCACUUCAUCACCCAGUCAUUCAACAGGAAGGAUUCCUGCCAGCUGCCAGGGGCUUUGGUUAUAGAAGUGAAGUGGACUAAAUACGGAUCCUUGCUGAAUCCACAGGCCAAAAUAGUCAAUGUAACUGCAAAUCUAAUUUCAUCCUCCUUUCCUGAGGCCAACUCAGGAAAUGAAAGGACGAUUCUUAUUUCCACUGCGGUUACUUUUGUGGAUGUG